GAUGAACGCUAGCGGCAGGCCUAAUACAUGCAAGUCGGACGGGAUUCAGGAGCUUGCUUCUGAUGAGAGUGGCGCACGGGUGCGUAACACGUAUGUAACCUACCUUUAUCAGGGGGAUAGCCUCUCGAAAGAGAGAUUAAGCCCGCAUAAAAUCACAGCACAGCAUUGUGUAAUGAUCAAAUAUUUAUAGGAUAAAGAUGGGCAUGCGGAACAUUCGCUAGAUGGCGGGGUAACGGCCCACCAUGGCGACGAUGUUUAGGGGAUCUGAGAGGAUGGCCCCCCACACUGGUACUGGGACACGGACCAGACUCCUACGGGAGGAAGCAGUAAGGAAUAUUGGUCAAUGGGCGGAAGCCUGAACCAGCCAUGCCGCGGGCAGGAAGACGGCCCUACGGGUUGUAAACUGCUUUUAUACGGGAAUAAACCCAGAUACGUGUAUCUGGCUGAAUGUACUGUAAGAAUAAGGAUCGGCUAACUCCGUG
Molecule: ribosomal RNA, 482 nt
Filed under: uncultured bacterium
Lineage: Bacteria
Description: partial 16S ribosomal RNA
Rfam family: Bacterial small subunit ribosomal RNA
Source: RNAcentral